UGCAAGUCGAACGGCAGCACGGGUGCUUGCACCUGGUGGCGAGUGGCGAACGGGUGAGUAAUACAUCGGAACGUACCUUAUCGUGGGGGAUAACGCAGCGAAAGUUGCGCUAAUACCGCAUACGCCCUGAGGGGGAAAGCGGGGGACCGUAAGGCCUCGCGCGAUUAGAGCGGCCGAUGUCUGAUUAGCUUGUUGGUGAGGUAAAAGCUCACCAAGGCGAUGAUCAGUAGCUGGUCUGAGAGGACGAUCAGCCACACUGGGACUGAGACACGGCCCAGACUCCUACGGGAGGCAGCAGUGGGGAAUUUUGGACAAUGGGGGCAACCCUGAUCCAGCAAUGCCGCGUGAGUGAAGAAGGCCUUCGGGUUGUAAAGCUCUUUUGUCAGGGAAGAAACAGCAGCUCUAACACAGAGUGCGAAGGACGGUACCUGAAGAAUAAGCACCGGCUAACUACGUGCCAGCAGCCGCGGUAAUACGUAGGGUGCGAGCGUUAAUCGGAAUUACUGGGCGUAAAGCGUGCGCAGGCGGUUAUACAAGACAGGCGUGAAAUCCCCGGGCUUAACCUGGGAAUGGCGUCUGUGACUGUAUAGCUAGAGUGUGUCAGAGGGGGGUGGAAUUCCACGUGUAGCAGUGAAAUGCGUAGAUAUGUGGAGGAACACCAAUGGCGAAGGCAGCUUCCUGGGAUAACACUGACGCUCAU
This 700-nucleotide ribosomal RNA is filed under the name uncultured bacterium. Its description in RNAcentral is "bacterial SSU rRNA". It matches the Rfam family "Bacterial small subunit ribosomal RNA", at positions 56 to 750 of the family's 1533-position model. The record is from RNAcentral.